ACAUGAGGGUGAUCUGGCUGCAACAUCCAUCACCCCAUUGACCUCCAGGGUUGAUUCAGCUGUUCUGUCUGCCGAGGCAAGUGCCCUCUUUCCCUCCUUACUGCUGUAUGCAUGUGUCCCUUGCAAAGCUGCACGCUCUAUUGAAGAGGAUGACCAUCCCUGAUAGAGGAGGACUGUUUUUUGGCCAAGGAUAUACAGUAGCUGCGCUCCCCUGCUAAAACCUCCAAAUGAGCUUUCAAUGAGCUGUAGGUUAAUGAUUCUCCACCUUUGCAGAUUCUCCAGCACCUCUAACUGGUAUUCAGA
RNAcentral lists this small nuclear RNA (303 nucleotides) under Callithrix jacchus (white-tufted-ear marmoset). RNAcentral describes it as "7SK RNA". It matches the Rfam family "7SK RNA". From Rfam's summary of the family: 7SK was discovered as an abundant small nuclear RNA in the mid-70s but a possible function has only recently been suggested. Two independent studies have found that 7SK RNA binds the CDK9/cyclin T complex (known as elongation factor P-TEFb). The record is from Rfam by way of RNAcentral. Lineage: Eukaryota; Metazoa; Chordata; Mammalia; Primates; Cebidae.